RNAcentral lists this ribosomal RNA (253 nucleotides) under uncultured bacterium. Its description in RNAcentral is "partial 16S ribosomal RNA". It matches the Rfam family "Bacterial small subunit ribosomal RNA", at positions 15 to 270 of the family's 1533-position model. The record is from RNAcentral.
GAUCAUGGCUCAGGACGAACGCUGGCGGCGUGCUUAACACAUGCAAGUCGAACGGAAAGGCCUAAGCUUGCCUGGGUACUCGAGUGGCGAACGGGUGAGUAACACGUGAGUGAUCUGCCCUCAACUUCGGGAUAAGCCUGGGAAACUGGGUCUAAUACUGGAUAGGACCAUCCUUUAGUGUGUGAUGGUGUAAGUUUUCGGUGGGAUGAGCUCGCGGCCUAUCAGUCGUUGGUUGGUGGGGUAACUGGUACCG